UACGUAGGGGGCAAGCGUUGUCCGGAGUUACUGGGCGUAAAGGGCGCGGAGGCGGUCUGCGGCGUCGGCGCUGAAAGCGCCCCGCUUAACGGGGCGAGGCGUGCCGAUACGCGCAGGCUCGAGGCGAGCAGAGGGUGGUGGAAUUCCGGGUGGAGCGGUGAAAUGCGUAGAGAUCCGGAGGAACGCCAGUGGGGAAGCCGGCCACCUGGGCUCGUCCUGACGCUGCGGCGCGACAGCGUGGGGAGCAAACCGG
RNAcentral lists this ribosomal RNA (253 nucleotides) under uncultured bacterium. RNAcentral's name for it is "partial 16S ribosomal RNA". It matches the Rfam family "Bacterial small subunit ribosomal RNA", at positions 524 to 776 of the family's 1533-position model. The record is from RNAcentral.